The sequence is a regulatory RNA element, 126 nucleotides long. It matches the Rfam family "PyrR binding site". From Rfam's summary of the family: This family represents the PyrR binding site and terminator structure. This RNA structure is found upstream of a variety of genes involved in pyrimidine biosynthesis and transport. The alignment also includes a portion of the antiterminator structure. The record is from Rfam.
UAGUCCUUUAACUACAGUCCCGUGAGGCUGAGAAGGAAAACGAACGGAAGCAGCAGAUGCAAUCUGUCUGUACUUACUAACGUCUUUUAUCCUCUCUGUCUUUAUAAGGACAGAGAGGUUUUUCGU